Syzygium oleosum is the source of this 1082-nucleotide long non-coding RNA. RefSeq lists it as uncharacterized. The transcript has 4 exons. Lineage: Eukaryota; Viridiplantae; Streptophyta; Magnoliopsida; Myrtales; Myrtaceae. The record is from RefSeq and is a predicted model, not a curated record.
UCGGCACCAUUCUCUGGGCCUUCAAACUGCAUACCACUUAAAUAUAUACUAUCUAUAAGCGAGGAACCAUCCAUGGUAUCCAAGAGAAACGGCAUUAACGAAGACAAUGAGUGAGUUGGAUUCUUGUUUGGAGUCAAAGGUUGAAUUGCUGGAUGCAUAAAAAAAACAAAAAAACAUACUCGGUUGGAUAUGCAAAACCACAUAUGAGCGCACCUUUUCAUGUGAACCAAGCUGCAAAACUCCAUGUGGAAAAAGAGAUCAUGUCAAGAACCUGUACCUUGACACCAGCUGAAAUCUGGGGCAACCAUUCAUCUGGUAUCUGCAUGUUACUGGCCAACACAUCAUCCAAUGAUAUCCAGCAAUGACUCUGUGUGCGGACCACUUCACCAAUAAUCCUAGCAAACAUGAAAUCUGAGUCAAACUACCAAUUUAAGAAUAAAAACAAGUGAUUUAUCUUUGGGAAUCCUUCUGAACUUAUUUUAGAGACUGGUGCAUUGAACUAGCUCUGUCAUAGAAGCUCAACACCUGAGGAUUGGUGUUUGAUGAAAUGAGCGCGCAACAUCAAGAACAGGAGCAUACCCUUCUCCCAGUUUGUACUGAAGACAUGAUGUUUCCAACACAGCGAUCUGACUUGCAGUCCCGUCUAUAACGCUACCAUCAUCAAAGGAUAGGAAUUGAUUCGCAUCAUUGGCAGACAGUUCAGCGGGCAAAUUUCCCGUCAAUGUUCUCACUUUUGGAUAAUCAUAGUACCAAUCUUCCCAUGAUAGGAACCUGAGAGAAUUCAAAGCAAUUUUUCAUUUCUCAUGAAACUAAUAGCCCACUUCUGCAUAUCCUUUCUGAUGAUGGAAAUAGCAUACUAUGAACACCGAGUCACAACUCACAAUAUCGGUAUUCAUUCCCCAAACACAAUCCUCUUGAGUAUCUGCUAUAUGUCCACUGGAAAAUGAUGUAUUUGUGUGAUAGUUUCAAGCCGUAGAUAUAUAAAAGAACAAAAGAGGAAAGUUGUACAUGUGCUCUUCUUAUACUCCAAUGUCCUAUGUUUGACGAGAGGAAUUAGUGUGAUCGGAUCCCAUUUCCAUUCA